GUGCUCGCCUCAACAGCACAUAUACUAAAACUGGAACGAUACAGAGAUGAGUGUGGCCCCUGCACGAGGAUGACUCGCAAAUUCAUGAAGCGUUCCAUAUUUUU
Molecule: small nuclear RNA, 104 nt
Filed under: Aotus nancymaae (Ma's night monkey)
Lineage: Eukaryota; Metazoa; Chordata; Mammalia; Primates; Aotidae
Source: RNAcentral